UGCGCAGAUGACGACAACAUAGACAGGGACAUCAGCACUCCAAAGGAGAAUGGUGACUACGUCUAAUGGGAAUCUCUCUGAUGCGCU
Glycine soja is the source of this 87-nucleotide non-coding RNA. Lineage: Eukaryota; Viridiplantae; Streptophyta; Magnoliopsida; Fabales; Fabaceae. The record is from Rfam.